GUCUGCGUAGCUCAGCGGAUAGAGUGUGGGUUUCCUAAGCCUGAGGUCGCCGGUUCGAACCCGGUCGUAGACU
This is a non-coding RNA of Cymbomonas tetramitiformis, 73 nucleotides long. Lineage: Eukaryota; Viridiplantae; Chlorophyta; Pyramimonadophyceae; Pyramimonadales; Pyramimonadaceae. The record is from the annotation of a GenBank genome assembly.